GAUGAAGAACGUAGCGAAUUGCGAUAAGUAAUGUGAAUUGCAGAAUUACGUGAAUCAUCGAAUCUUUGAACGCAUAUUGCACUCUCUGGUAAUCCGGGGAGUAUGCCUGUUUGAGGGUCAGUAAAUAAUAAUUAUCAUGAAUCUUUUGAUUUAUGGAAUUGGGCUUUUAUUUCGAUAGAUCUAUGGCCUUAAAUUUACGUUAUGGGCUUGUCAUAUAAAAUCCGAUCUAAAGGAGCAAUUAAACAUUCUCUCAUUAGCGCGGAUUUUUACAAGCUGUUAUGAUCUUUGGUUGCUUUCAGCAUUUUUACGAGUGCGAAACCAAGAUCGUAAGCUUACUCUAACAAUGACCUCAAAUCAGGCAAGAAUACCCGCUGAACUUAAGCAUAUCAAUAAGCGGAGGA
RNAcentral lists this unclassified non-coding RNA (401 nucleotides) under soil metagenome. Its description in RNAcentral is "partial contains 5.8S ribosomal RNA, internal transcribed spacer 2, and large subunit ribosomal RNA". The stretch from base 1 to 120 matches the Rfam family "5.8S ribosomal RNA", at positions 35 to 154 of the family's 154-position model. The record is from RNAcentral.